UACGUAGGGGACGAGCGUUGUCCGGAAUUACUGGGCGUAAAGGGCGCGCAGGCUGUGCUGCAAGUCAGCUGUGAAAUAUCUGGGCUUAACCUGGAUAUGCGGUUGAGACUGCAGUGCUGGAGUGCUGUAGAGGCAAGUGGAAUUCCCAGUGUAGCGGUGAAAUGCGUAGAUAUUGGGAAGAACACCGGUGGCGAAGGCGACUUGCUGGGCAGCAACUGACGCUGAGGCGCGAAAGCCAGGGGAGCAAACGGGAUUAGAUACCCCCGUAGUCCGG
This 274-nucleotide ribosomal RNA is filed under the name uncultured Aminivibrio sp. RNAcentral's name for it is "partial 16S ribosomal RNA". It matches the Rfam family "Bacterial small subunit ribosomal RNA", at positions 524 to 798 of the family's 1533-position model. The record is from RNAcentral. Lineage: Bacteria; Thermotogati; Synergistota; Synergistia; Synergistales; Aminobacteriaceae.